AUGUUUGAGCAGUUUGGUGAAUCGUUGUAUAAGGCUGGGUUGUAUGUAACUGAAGAGGUGGAACCUGGAAGGAAACACAUGGUUACUCAUGUAGACGCCGAAAGAAGGAGCAGUUGGUGCAAAUCAGUGUUCUAUGUUGUUGUUGAUAUGGACAGGACAGAGUUUGUUUGCGAGUGUGGCUUCUUUGAACAUGGUGGCAUGCUGUGUGCUCACGCGAUAAAGGUACGAAAAAAAUAA
This 237-nucleotide ribosomal RNA is filed under the name Triticum aestivum (bread wheat). RNAcentral's name for it is "partial small subunit ribosomal RNA". Lineage: Eukaryota; Viridiplantae; Streptophyta; Magnoliopsida; Poales; Poaceae. The record is from RNAcentral.